Non-coding RNA from Mycena haematopus, 95 nucleotides. The record is from the annotation of a GenBank genome assembly. NCBI's taxonomy places the organism in Eukaryota, Fungi, Basidiomycota, Agaricomycetes, Agaricales, Mycenaceae.
GGCUCUAUGGGCAAAUGGUUAAGCCCUCGUUGUAAGUUUGCAACCUCCUUGAGCACUUUGUGACGAGAGUGCUGGUUCGAAUCCAGCUAGGGCCA